ACCCUGAUAGCUUAAUUUUUAGAGCAUAGCACUGAAGAUGCUAAGGUAGCAAAUACGCUUUAGGGUA
This 67-nucleotide transfer RNA is filed under the name Charonia tritonis (giant triton snail). Its description in RNAcentral is "tRNA-Phe". It matches the Rfam family "tRNA". From Rfam's summary of the family: Transfer RNA (tRNA) molecules are approximately 80 nucleotides in length. Their secondary structure includes four short double-helical elements and three loops (D, anti-codon, and T loops). The record is from RNAcentral. Lineage: Eukaryota; Metazoa; Mollusca; Gastropoda; Littorinimorpha; Ranellidae.